GAAUAAAUGGGUUUGAUCCUGGCCCAGAAUGAACGCUAGCGAUAUGCCUUAUACAUGCAAGUCGAAUGCGCCCCUAAGGGGGAGGCAUGGCGAACGGGUGCGUAAAACGUGGGAAUCUACCCAACAGUUCGGUAUAACCAUACCACACUUCGGUUGUGGGAACUCAAUUUUUGAGGUGAGAAUCCCGAAUAAUAAUAAAAGAUUAAUUCGCUGUUGGAUGAGCCUGCGGAGGAUUAGGUAGUUGGUUAUAAGUAUUGGGGUAAUGGCCCACCAAGCCUACGAUCCUUAGCUGGUCUGAGAGGAUGGUCAGCCACACUGGGACUGAGAAAGGCCCAGACUCCUACGGGAGGCUGCAGUAGGGAAUAUUGGACAAUGGGCUAACGCCUGAUCCAGCAAUAUCGCGUGGGUGAUGACGGCCAUUUGGUUGUAAAGCCCUUUCACCGGGGAAGAUAAUGACAUGAACCGGAGAAGAAGCCCCGGCAAACUCCGUGCCAGCAGCCGCGGUAAGACGGGGGGGGCUAGUGUUAUUCGGAAUGACUGGGCGUACAGCGCGCGCAGGCGGUUUAUAGGGUUACCUAUGGAAAGACCGAGGCUCAACCUCGGAAUGCAUGGUAAUACCGGUAAACUAGAGUUUGUCAGAGGAUGGUGGAAUUUCUAAUGUAGAGAUUAAAUUCGUGGAGAUUAGAAGGAACACCGGCGGCGAAGGCGACCAUCUGGGGCAAAACUGACGCUAAAGUGCUAAAGCAUGGGGAGCGACCAGGAUUAGAGACCCUGUUAGUCCAUGCCGUAAACGAUGAGUGUUAUGUCUCCCCAAUAAAAUUGGGUGGGCAUCAGCUAACGCAAAAACACUCCGCCUGGGGAGUACGGCCGCAAGGUUGAAACUCAAAGGAAUUGACGGGGGCUCGCACAAGCGGUGGAGCAUGUGGUUUAAUUCGAUACUACGCGCAGAACCUUACCAGCCCUUGCAUAUAGGAGCCGAGAAAUUUAAUGGUUUCUCCCAUUUACCCCUUCGGGGAUAUACUGCUAUACAGGUGUUGCAUGGCUGUCCUCAGCUCGUGUCGUGAGAUGUUGGGUUUAGUCCUAAAACGAGCGCAACCCUUAUCUUCGGUUGCCACCUUUCUUUUAGGGAGAGCACUCGGAAGAAACUGCCGGCGAUAUGCCGGAGGAAGGUGGGGAUUAUGUCAAGUCCGCAUGACCCUUAUGGGCUGGGCUACACACGUGCUACAAUGGUGGCCACAGAGGGAGGCAAUGGUGAGAGCCGGAGCAAAUCCUGAAAAGCCAUCCCAGUUCGGAUUGUUCUCUGCAACUCGAGAACAUGAAGUUGGAAUCGCUAGUAAUCGCAGAUCAGCAUGCUGCGGUGAAUCUGUUCCCGAGCCUUGUACACACCGCCCGUCACACCCCGGAAAUUGAUCUUUUCUGAAGUUAUAAAGUUAGCCGAAUAUCUCUUUUAUCUUCUUUCCCAGAGGGGAAAUGAAAAAAGGGGCGUUUGGGGAUUUUAUCACCAUGGCAAGGUGAGUAACCGGGGUGAAGUCGUAACAAGGUAAUCGUAGAGGAAUCUGCGGUUGGAUUAACCUUAAU
This 1578-nucleotide ribosomal RNA is filed under the name Ancoracysta twista. Its description in RNAcentral is "16S ribosomal RNA". It matches the Rfam family "Bacterial small subunit ribosomal RNA". The record is from RNAcentral. Lineage: Eukaryota; Nebulidia; Nebulidea; Nebulidida; Ancoracystidae.